AGGUUCUCAUUUAUUCUUCUUCUAAAGCUUUUCUGAUAGCUUCUUGAAAUAAGGGGAAGAGAAAUUGGGAUUGAAGGACUGAUUUGGAGGACAAAGAAUUGAGUAUUUGAUAGAGAAAUUGUUGUAAAUUUCUUGAUUUAAUUGCUUCUAAUGUUGAUUCUUUGGAUUGAGCAUAAUGGCUCCUUGAUGUACCCCAUUGCGUUGAACAUAAU
This 212-nucleotide long non-coding RNA is filed under the name Olea europaea (common olive). Its description in RNAcentral is "long non-coding RNA (OEUR_LNC006562)". The record is from RNAcentral. Lineage: Eukaryota; Viridiplantae; Streptophyta; Magnoliopsida; Lamiales; Oleaceae.